Harpegnathos saltator (Jerdon's jumping ant) is the source of this 303-nucleotide long non-coding RNA. RefSeq lists it as uncharacterized. The record is from RefSeq and is a predicted model, not a curated record. The transcript is spliced from 3 exons. NCBI's taxonomy places the organism in Eukaryota, Metazoa, Arthropoda, Insecta, Hymenoptera, Formicidae.
CAUGUUCUUAUAAGGAAACAUGUAGGAAAGUAUGAUGUUCUGAAAUACAUCAUAGAAAAUUAUUUUGAAAUACACUGGUGGAGAAACGUUCCUUUAAAUUGGUUAAAUUUAAAUCUGUUGGGCGAUAUGUUCAUGAAUGUAUAUACCAUUGAACAUAUCAAUAUGAUUGCGGAGUUUGCAUAUAAUCAGUGCUACAAAUUAAACAUAAAUAUGCAUGACAUAUUUACAAUAAUGCAAAUUCAAAAGGAAAGAAUUAACAGAAUACAACUUGAGAUUUCGAAAUUUUAAAUAAAAAAAGAAACG